Molecule: ribosomal RNA, 491 nt
Filed under: uncultured bacterium
Lineage: Bacteria
Description: partial 16S ribosomal RNA
Rfam family: Bacterial small subunit ribosomal RNA
Source: RNAcentral
GAUGAACGCUGGCUACAGGCUUAACACAUGCAAGUCGAGGGGAAACGCCGGGGAAGCUUGCUUCCCCGGGCGUCGACCGGCGCACGGGUGAGUAACGCGUAUCCAACCUGCCUCUGACUGAGGGAUAACCCGUCGAAAGUCGGCCUAAUACCACAUGGCAUCGUCUGCGGGCAUCCAACGACGAUUAAAGAUUUCAUCGGUCAGGGAUGGGGAUGCGUCUGAUUAGCUAGUUGGCGGGGUAACGGCCCACCAAGGCGACGAUCAGUAGGGGUUCUGAGAGGAAGGUCCCCCACAUUGGAACUGAGACACGGUCCAAAAUACUACGGGAGGCAGCAGUGAGGAAGAUUGGUCAAUGAGCGAGAGCCUGAACCAGCCAAGUAGCGUGCAGGAGGACGGCGCUAGGGGUUGUAAGCUGCUUUUAUGCGGGGAUAAAGUGAGGGACGUGUCCUUCAUUGCAGGUACCGAAUGAAUAAGGGCCGGCUAAUUCCGUG